GAUGAAGAACGUAGUGAAAUGCGAUAAGUAAUGUGAAUUGCAGAAUUCAGUGAAUCAUCGAAUCUUUGAACGCACAUUGCGCCCAUUAGUAUUCUAGUGGGCAUGCCUGUUCGAGCGUCAUUUCAACCCUUAAGCCCCUGUUGCUUAGCGUUGGGAGCCUACAGCCUGCUGUAGUUCCUCAAAGUUAGUGGCGGAGUCAGUUCACACUCUAGACGUAGUAAAAUCUUUAUCUCGCCUAUAGGUGAGCUGGCGCCUUGCCGUAAAAACCCCUAAUCUUUUACAAGGUUGACCUCGGAUCAGGUAGGAAUACCCGCUGAACUUAAGCAUAUCAAUAAGCGGAGGA
This 343-nucleotide unclassified non-coding RNA is filed under the name soil metagenome. Its description in RNAcentral is "partial contains 5.8S ribosomal RNA, internal transcribed spacer 2, and large subunit ribosomal RNA". The stretch from base 1 to 120 matches the Rfam family "5.8S ribosomal RNA", at positions 35 to 154 of the family's 154-position model. The record is from RNAcentral.